Molecule: ribosomal RNA, 253 nt
Filed under: uncultured bacterium
Lineage: Bacteria
Description: partial 16S ribosomal RNA
Rfam family: Bacterial small subunit ribosomal RNA
Source: RNAcentral
UACAGAGGGGGCGAGCGUUGUUCGGACUUACUGGGCGUCACGGGCGCGUAGGCGGCCCUCUAAGUCGAACGUGAAAUCCCCGGGCUCAACCCGGGAACUGCGUCCGAUACUGGAGGGCUCGAAUCCGGGAGAGGGAUGUGGAAUUCCAGGUGUAGCGGUGAAAUGCGUAGAUAUCUGGAGGAACACCGGUGGCGAAGGCGGCAUCCUGGACCGGUAUUGACGCUGAGGCGCGAAAGCCAGGGGAGCAAACGGG